This 688-nucleotide long non-coding RNA is filed under the name Homo sapiens (human). RNAcentral describes it as "HSALNT0340304". The record is from RNAcentral. Lineage: Eukaryota; Metazoa; Chordata; Mammalia; Primates; Hominidae.
GGAUGAAAGAGUGAUGUGUAGAGAAAGACAGAAAAGGUGGGGACUAUUUUAAAUAGGAUGGUCAAGGAAAGGCUUGUCUGAGCUGAGACCUGAAGAGCAAGAAGCAAAUAAGUGAAUAUACUGGGGAAUGAUCUGGAGAAGAGGCAAGAACCAGUGCAAAGUUCCUGAGGCAGUAACAGGCUUGACUUCUUCAAGGAACAGAAAAAAAGGCAGCAAGGUGAUAAUUAAUGAGGAGAGGGAAAAAGAUGAGCUUGGAAAGGCAGGCAGGGACCAGAUCACAUGGGACCUGUUGUACCUUGCUAACAGGUUGGGACUUUUUACGAACAAUGAAAAGCCAUUGAAGAAUUUAUAUGAGCAUCUAAGAACUUACAGACAACAAGAAAAGGGAUACCUUAAGAAAUCAGAUUCAGUUAAAAUCCCCAUGGUACUCUUUUCAGUCCUAUUCUCCUCCCUCUUUAAAGGUAACUGCCAUUCUAAACUUUAUGCUUGUAAUUUUCUUGCAUGUUUUUGUGCUUUUACCACACAUACUCAUACAUAUCUAUAAACAAUAUGUAGCACUGCCUUGCAUGUUUUUAAACUUUAUAUGAAUGGUACCAUACUGUGCAUAUUCUUCUGUACUUGCUUUUUUACCUUCAGUAUUAUGUUGCUGAGAUUUAUCCAUGCUCAUUAAUCCUUAGCAACUACUUAG